UACGUAGGGGGCGAGCGUUGUCCGGAUUCAUUGGGCGUAAAGCGCACGUAGGCGGAUCCUUAAGUCAGGGGUGAAAUCCCGAGGCUCAACCUCGGAACUGCCUUUGAUACUGGGGAUCUUGAGUCCGGGAGAGGUGAGUGGAAUUGCGAGUGUAGAGGUGAAAUUCGUAGAUAUUCGCAAGAACACCAGUGGCGAAGGCGGCUCACUGGCCCGGUACUGACGCUGAGGUGCGAAAGCGUGGGGAGCAAACAGG
RNAcentral lists this ribosomal RNA (253 nucleotides) under uncultured bacterium. RNAcentral's name for it is "partial 16S ribosomal RNA". It matches the Rfam family "Bacterial small subunit ribosomal RNA", at positions 524 to 776 of the family's 1533-position model. The record is from RNAcentral.